Molecule: ribosomal RNA, 718 nt
Filed under: uncultured Actinomycetales bacterium
Lineage: Bacteria; Bacillati; Actinomycetota; Actinomycetes; Actinomycetales
Description: bacterial SSU rRNA
Rfam family: Bacterial small subunit ribosomal RNA
Source: RNAcentral
UAACACAUGCAAGUCGAACGGAAAGGCCCUGCUUGCAGGAUACUCGAGUGGCGAACGGGUGAGUAACACGUGGGUGAUCUGCCCUGCACUUCGGGAUAAGCCUGGGAAACUGGGUCUAAUACCGGAUAGGAGCCAUUUUUAGUGUGAUGGUUGGAAAGUUUUUUCGGUGUAGGAUGAGCUCGCGGCCUAUCAGCUUGUUGGUGGGGUAAUGGCCUACCAAGGCGGCGACGGGUAGCCGGCCUGAGAGGGUGGACGGCCACAUUGGGACUGAGAUACGGCCCAGACUCCUACGGGAGGCAGCAGUGGGGAAUAUUGCACAAUGGGCGCAAGCCUGAUGCAGCGACGCCGCGUGGGGGAUGACGGCCUUCGGGUUGUAAACUCCUUUCGCUAGGGACGAAGCUUUUUGUGACGGUACCUAGAUAAGAAGCACCGGCUAACUACGUGCCAGCAGCCGCGGUAAUACGUAGGGUGCGAGCGUUGUCCGGAAUUACUGGGCGUAAAGGGCUCGUAGGUGGUUUGUCGCGUCGUCUGUGAAAUUCCGGGGCUUAACUCCGGGCGUGCAGGCGAUACGGGCAUAACUUGUGUACUGUAGGGGUAACUGGAAUUCCUGGUGUAGCGGUGAAAUGCGCAGAUAUCAGGAGGAACACCGAUGGCGAAGGCAGGUUACUGGGCAGUUACUGACGCUGAGGAGCGAAAGCAUGGGUAGCGAACAGGAUUA